RNAcentral lists this ribosomal RNA (455 nucleotides) under uncultured bacterium. RNAcentral's name for it is "bacterial SSU rRNA". It matches the Rfam family "Bacterial small subunit ribosomal RNA", at positions 340 to 786 of the family's 1533-position model. The record is from RNAcentral.
UACGGAAGGCAGCAGUGGGGAAUAUUGCACAAUGGGCGCAAGCCUGAUGCAGCCAUGCCGCGUGUAUGAAAAAGGCCUUCGGGUUGUAAAGUACUUUCAGUCGUGAGGAAGGUGUUAAGGUUAAUAACCUUAGCAAUUGACGUUAGCGACAGAAGAAGCACCGGCUAACUCCGUGCCAGCAGCCGCGGUAAUACGGAGGGUGCGAGCGUUAAUCGGAAUUACUGGGCGUAAAGGGCACGCAGGCGGUUAAUUAAGUUGGAUGUGAAAUCCCCGGGCUUAACCUGGGAAUGGCAUUCAAGACUGGUUAGCUAGAGUCUUGUAGAGGGGGUAGAAUUCCAUGUGUAGCGGUGAAAUGCGUAGAGAUGUGGAGGAAUACCGGUGGCGAAGGCGGCCCCCUGGGACAAAGACUGACGCUCAUGUGCGAAAGCGUGGGGAGCAAACAGGGAUUAGAUACC